Molecule: ribosomal RNA, 253 nt
Filed under: uncultured bacterium
Lineage: Bacteria
Description: partial 16S ribosomal RNA
Rfam family: Bacterial small subunit ribosomal RNA
Source: RNAcentral
UACGUAGGCAGCGAGCGUUGUUCGGAGUUACUGGGCGUAAAGAGUGCGUAGGCGGUUUUCUAAGUUUGGUGUGAAAUCUCCCGGCUUAACUGGGAGGGUGCGCCGAAAACUGGAAGGCUUGAGUAUGGGAGAGGUAAGCGGAAUUCCUGGUGUAGCGGUGAAAUGCGUAGAUAUCUGGAGGAACACCGGUGGCGAAGGCGGCAUCCUGGACCAACAUUGACGCUGAGGAGCGAAAGCUAGGGGAGCAAACGGG